Daphnia pulex (common water flea) is the source of this 1246-nucleotide RNA transcript. RefSeq lists it as uncharacterized. Lineage: Eukaryota; Metazoa; Arthropoda; Branchiopoda; Diplostraca; Daphniidae. The transcript is spliced from 6 exons. The record is from RefSeq and is a predicted model, not a curated record.
UAACUUUUUUUUGUUAAAUGGAUUACCAUAAAAAAAAGGUUUUCAAUUUUAAUACAAUUUAUAACUAAAUUUUUUUUUAGCUAAACCUCUUGGGGGGAAUCAAUCUUAUCAGAUUACGAAUUUGUUAAUAAUUUUAAAUUUUGCAUACCCUUUCUUAGAGAUUACCCUUUAAUAGAUUAAGAGUAUUUGGAAGGAGAUAAUGAGUCGAACUAUCAUUAUAAUUAUUGUGACUUCAGUGACUUCAGUUCUGAUUCUAAUAAAUCUGAUUCCGACAGCUCAUACGUGUAAGCAAACACCUCUGAGGAUUUAUCAGAAACAUCAAUGGAUAAAAAACAAGGUAAUAAACAAUAAUUUUAAUGCCUUAUGACUACUGCGACUUGAGUUCUGAUUCUGAUAAAUCUGUAUCAGACUUGAAUAGCUCAGUUUAAACACCUCUCAUGACCUAUCGGAAACAGAGCUGGAGAAACAAAACAAGACGAUGUACCAAAAGAAAUCUCUGAAAAUUUUCAAAGGGAAGCUGAAUUGGAAGUCGUAGAUGAUGAAAAAUUAUAAACUCUCGCAAAGUCUCGAAAACUCUGGAAAAGUUUCAAACUUUACAUUAAUUUCAAAAUAAGUGAAAGUUGAAGAAAUGGAAGGAAGUGAAUUGGAGAAUUGGAGAAUCUUUGUGAAAAAUGUGGUUUGAAGCAGGAUUCAACAAAUUCUGCUUGUGUUAAAUCGAACACUAAUCUCCCUUCAGAUGAUACCGAGGAACAGCAAGUAUUGGAAGUCAUGAAUGAAGACGGAGGAAAGCAAGAUUUACCAGAACUGACUUUGGAAAUUGGUGAAGCACUCGAUGAAUUUGAAAACCUUUAUGAUGACAAAAUCAUUCUGAAACGAAAUGUGAAGAAAUACUACAGGAUUGAAUUUGCGAAAAAAGCCAAACUGGAUAGCAUGAACGCUACUUUUUCGAUCGUCAGUAUCAAAACAGUGAAGAUGGUGUCUCAGAUGUUGGAGAAGGUGGUUUUGAUUCUUCGGGCAGUAAUGAUGGAGAAGAUUACGGAGACGAUGAAGGAUCCGAAGAAAGCAGUCUGUGCAGCAGCUUGUCCCACUGCACGACUGAAUCGGAGUCCGAGGACAAUGAAGAGUUUCUUUAAUUCACUUUGUAGCAGCUUUAAACCCUUUUAAAAUUAAUGUAAAUGCCCUGUUUUUGGUACUGUUCGAACACAACUGAUGUAACUCAGAAAUAAAUCGUCGCUGAUAAAUUGAA